UAGGGAAUCUUCCACAAUGGACGCAAGUCUGAUGGAGCAACGCCGCGUGAGUGAAGAAGGUUUUCGGAUCGUAAAGCUCUGUUGUUGGUGAAGAAGGAUAGAGGUAGUAACUGGCCUUUAUUUGACGGUAAUCAACCAGAAAGUCACGGCUAACUACGUGCCAGCAGCCGCGGUAAUACGUAGGUGGCAAGCGUUGUCCGGAUUUAUUGGGCGUAAAGCGAGCGCAGGCGGAAGAAUAAGUCUGAUGUGAAAGCCCUCGGCUUAACCGAGGAACUGCAUCGGAAACUGUUUUUCUUGAGUGCAGAAGAGGAGAGUGGAAUUCCCUGUGUAGCGGUGGAAUGCGUAGAUAUAUGGAAGAACACCAGUGGCGAAGGCGACUCUCUGGUCUGCAACUGACGCUGAGGCUCGAAAGCAUGGGUAGCGAACAGG
Molecule: ribosomal RNA, 429 nt
Filed under: bacterium
Lineage: Bacteria
Description: partial 16S ribosomal RNA
Rfam family: Bacterial small subunit ribosomal RNA
Source: RNAcentral